Molecule: long non-coding RNA, 384 nt
Organism: Nematostella vectensis (starlet sea anemone)
Lineage: Eukaryota; Metazoa; Cnidaria; Anthozoa; Actiniaria; Edwardsiidae
Exons: 2
Source: RefSeq, a predicted model, not a curated record
GUCAACAUACAGCACCUUGACAGUUGUGGUAUCCCUGUUGGUAAUGCACUCCUGGAUUUGUGCUCUGUACCAGGCAUCAUCCUCUGUGAACCGCGCCACACAGAACAUGUCUUUGGCUGGUUGAACCUGUGGAGUAAUGACCACACCCUGGCAAAGAUGGAGAUCUCUUGAUUUAGUCCACAAGCGAAACCCUCAAACAACAAGGAUGGAGUGGGGGUUUUAGAUAUGGACAUCAACAGUCAGAUUUUGAUGGUCAUUGUGUAGUGCAAAAGGGUGACUUAUCAUGGGUAGGAAAACGAGAUUAUGAAUUCCAAUUUCAUUGCAAUGGACUAGGUAAAACUUAUAUAUAUGGAUAAAAAAUAAACUUGCAUCACUAUUAGAGAA